RNAcentral lists this long non-coding RNA (446 nucleotides) under Macaca mulatta (Rhesus monkey). RNAcentral's name for it is "lncRNA (ENSMMUG00000063616.1)". The record is from RNAcentral. Lineage: Eukaryota; Metazoa; Chordata; Mammalia; Primates; Cercopithecidae.
AGCUUGGAGAGAAGGAGACCUUCAUGGAAGUGCAUCAGCCAUGGACUCUCUCCUGUCUUUGUUGGAUCCAUGGGAGAAUCCAAUGAUCCCAGGAUAGAGCAGACUCGAACCAUCUGGAAGAAAUGUAAAGCAGAACCCCAGGAAUAAACCACACAUCCAUAAGUAUCCAAAAGGAUCUGCAGGAUUCUUCAGGCCUGCCUAUAUUUUGUAAGGGUGAAGGAGUGGGACCCCAGCCACCCCAUGCCAGAUUAUAUCCUCACCCCUAUGUGACCUUAUUGCUACUCACACUCUCUCCCAAGCAUGAAAACCCAAGGCGAUGGAGGAGUGUCCCUCACGAUGUGAAGCCCCUGCUUGUCUGGGAAUUGAAUUUAAGAAUGAAAUCCCAGGAUGAUGGUGGAGUGUCCCCUCAUGAUGUGAAUAACUGCUUGACUGGGAACCAAAUUUAA